UACGGAGGGUGCAAGCGUUGUCCGGAAUCACUGGGCGUAAAGCGCGCGCAGGCGGCUAUCCAAGUCAGUGGUGAAAGCCCGGAGCUCAACUCCGGAACUGCCAUUGAAACUGUUUAGCUUGAGUAUGAGAGAGGUGAGUGGAAUUCCCAGUGUAGAGGUGAAAUUCGUAGAUAUUGGGAAGAACACCGGUGGCGAAGGCGGCUCACUGGCUCAUUACUGACGCUCAGGCGCGACAGCGUGGGGAUCAAACAGG
This 253-nucleotide ribosomal RNA is filed under the name uncultured bacterium. RNAcentral's name for it is "partial 16S ribosomal RNA". It matches the Rfam family "Bacterial small subunit ribosomal RNA", at positions 524 to 776 of the family's 1533-position model. The record is from RNAcentral.